This is a long non-coding RNA of Stegodyphus dumicola, 859 nucleotides long. The record is from RefSeq and is a predicted model, not a curated record. Lineage: Eukaryota; Metazoa; Arthropoda; Arachnida; Araneae; Eresidae.
CAUCAGCUGCGUGAGCAACUUGCUCUGUUUAACAGCCAGAUGACUCAGCGAGGAUUUAAACUUCACAGAGAGCAAAAGCUAAAUGGCCUCUAGAGAUCGAACAGUUUGAAUCUUCAUUUAUAAUUUCGUGACUUUAUUACUCUGUUCGGCGCCUAUUGCCUGCCAACCUGCAGCAAUCGUGACAAAGCAGAAGCUUAUGCAGGCAAUGUUUUUCAAGUCAUGGGUAAAAGAAAUAAAAACGAGGAAAUUAAUUGUUGUAAAGGCAAGGAGCAGUGAACCCUCCCUAAGGCGACCAUCUAUGGCUCCAGAUAAUUUGGUCGUCUGUGAAGCUGCUAUGUGGAAAAUGUGAUCUUCAGUACACGAAGUAAUCCUUGUUCAAGCUUAUCUAAUGAUCCUGGAGGAGGAAUUAAAGCAGCAACCUGUCUCCCAAGGUAGUUCCAAAGAUGCAUUCCUUCUCCGGGAUUCGAACCCGGGAUCUUCGGUAUCGUAGUCGGCUCCCCUAACUAGUAUACCGUCUUGGCGGCUAGGCGAACUUUUAGUAAAGCAGAUUAUAAAACUGCAGUAAAAUCAGCAAAAAUCUGCUUUUUAAAUUUAUAAAAUACGGCGAAAUGAUUCGAGCAAUGAAAUAAAAAUAUUCGAAAGACAAGUCUAAGCUUACCUAUAAGAAUAUUGCAUUUUACAGCAUACCUUACCAUUUACGCUUUAACGUUCAUUGCUAAAUUAAAAAAUUACAAAAGUUGUUUUGACACUAAAAUCGUGCUUAAGGCCCGAAUAUUAAGGAAAUUCAAAAUACUAUCCUCUAAACAACCUCCAGCUUAGAAGGUUUAUCAUUAUUUUCUAUAAAAAUUAAAACACAGAA